GCAGCCGGACUAGCUUAGCUGGUAGAGCAGCGGCCUUGUAGACCGAGGUCGCAGGUUCGCGCCCUGCAAUGGCACCGCCA
This 80-nucleotide transfer RNA is filed under the name Phenylobacterium sp. RNAcentral's name for it is "tRNA-Thr". The stretch from base 4 to 74 matches the Rfam family "tRNA". Rfam says of the family: Transfer RNA (tRNA) molecules are approximately 80 nucleotides in length. Their secondary structure includes four short double-helical elements and three loops (D, anti-codon, and T loops). The record is from RNAcentral. Lineage: Bacteria; Pseudomonadati; Pseudomonadota; Alphaproteobacteria; Caulobacterales; Caulobacteraceae.